GCGACGUCGCUAUGAACGCUUGGCCGUCACAAGCGAGUUAUCCCUGUGGUAACUUUUCUGACACCUCUUGUUGAAAACUCUUCAAGCCAAAAGGAUCGAUAGGCCGUGCUUUCGCAGUCCCUAUGCGUACUG
This 132-nucleotide ribosomal RNA is filed under the name Darnis latior. RNAcentral describes it as "partial 28S ribosomal RNA". Lineage: Eukaryota; Metazoa; Arthropoda; Insecta; Hemiptera; Membracidae. The record is from RNAcentral.